GUGCACCUCUUGUAGUCUUUGAAAGAAAAGUAAACCCCUUGCAGAAAUGCGGUUGGGGGGACUGGGCCUCACCCGCCCUUCCCCUGCUUGCUUUGAAAAAAGUGAGAACCCCUCGCAGCAAUGCGGUUGGGGGGAGUGGUUAUUCUUCCCCUGCUUACUUUUCUUUCAAAWGGCUAUGUUUUCAUAUACACUAUAAAGUUACAGAAUGUCUUUUAAAGAUUGUCGCUYGCGCGCAGUCAUUAAACCUAUACAACUUUCACCAACGGAUCUCUUGGCUCUCCCAUCGAUGAAGAACGCAGCGAAAUGCGAUAARUAAUGUGAAUUGCAGAAUUCAGUGAAUCAUCGAAUCUUUGAACGCCCCUUGCGCCCUUUGGUAUUCCGAAGGGCAUGCCUGUUUGAGUGUCAUUAAAUUAUCAACCUUGCUCGUUUUUCGAGUAAGGCUUGGAUGUGAGGGCUUGCUGGCUUCCUUCAGUGGAUGGUCUGCUCCCUUUAAAUGCAUUAGCGGGAUCUCUUGUGGACCGUCACUUGGCGUGAUAAUUAUCUAUGCCUCGUCGACUUUGAAGCAAAUUUAUGGGAACCUGCUUAUA
RNAcentral lists this ribosomal RNA (587 nucleotides) under Mycena sp. Its description in RNAcentral is "eukaryotic LSU rRNA". The stretch from base 252 to 405 matches the Rfam family "5.8S ribosomal RNA". The record is from RNAcentral. Lineage: Eukaryota; Fungi; Basidiomycota; Agaricomycetes; Agaricales; Mycenaceae.